CCGGCCAUACCGCGUGGGUGAAGAAGGCCUUCGGGUUGUAAAGCCCUUUUGUUGGGAAAGAAAUCCAGCUGGUUAAUACCCGGUUGGGAUGACGGUACCCAAAGAAUAAGCACCGGCUAACUUCGUGCCAGCAGCCGCGGUAAUAA
RNAcentral lists this ribosomal RNA (146 nucleotides) under uncultured soil bacterium. RNAcentral describes it as "partial 16S ribosomal RNA". It matches the Rfam family "Bacterial small subunit ribosomal RNA", at positions 388 to 526 of the family's 1533-position model. The record is from RNAcentral.